This is a long non-coding RNA of Oncorhynchus tshawytscha (Chinook salmon), 1646 nucleotides long. NCBI's taxonomy places the organism in Eukaryota, Metazoa, Chordata, Actinopteri, Salmoniformes, Salmonidae. The record is from Ensembl.
CUCUCUCUCUCUCUCGCGCCUCUCUCUCCCUCGUGCCUCUCUCUCACUCGCGCCUCUCUCUCCCACCAGCCUCUCUCUCUCCCUCGCGCCUCUCUCUCCCACCAGCCUCUCUCUCUCCCACCAGCCUCUCUCUCCCUCGCGCCUCUCUCUCCCUCACGCCUCUCUCUCUCCCUCGCUCCUCUUCAAGCUGCUAGAAAUAACAAGGUCAUGUCUCUACUUCCCUUCAGAAGUCCUCUUCCUGUGUCUUUACAGGAUGUUGAUAAUAGCAGAUGUUCUGUAUAAGACAAUAACUAUAUAUUACGAUGAUAAAGAGCUUAAGGACAUAAAAUGGCGGACAGAGAUGAGACAGUUGAUCAGAAAAACAGAAUCGUCACCAGGAGUAAGCUGCUGAUAAUUCCAAGUUGUAUUUAUUAUGUUAUAUGAAAAAUAGACAUGUAAUAUAUAGGACAGAGUUAUCUUUGCUCGUUCCUUCUUUCUCUGACCCGGUAGAAUCCAUUUGAGAACAAAUAUGCCCUUAGCUUUAACACAACUACUCAUCUGUAAUAUUUUGGAACAGUUUUUUUUUUUUAAUUUUAAAUACAGGUUUUCAAUUUACUCCAUUAACAUGUAAUUAUAAAUGUAUUCACAACAUGGCACUAUAUGGAAACAUCAAGCCCGACUGACCACUCAGAAGUGACUGGCAUAAUCACUGUUACAUGUAUCUUUAGUUAGCUAGUGAUGUUAUUCUCAUUGGUUUUGUAUUGUAGCUUUACCUCACACCCCGAUGACUUGUCUUCUAUAGAUGGACAUGUUGGUUACCUUGGUUACGGGUCAGUGGAGGCUGGUGGGUGGAGAUGUAGUUAAAUUGACAGGCUCAGUCGUCACGCGUUUUCAUACCGCUCCGUUUUAUCCCAUUCCAGCUGUUAACAAUGUGAGCCCGUCCUCCGAUAUCUCCCGCUCCCACCAGCCUCCAGUGCUCCAGGUGAGGUGUCGUCGUUAGCUACAAAGCUAUCUCUUUGUUUGUCUGUGUUCUCACACCUGGUCUGUGUUUUGCGUCUAGUACAGGACGAGUUUGGAUGAUGUCAUCUCUCACAGGGGUCAGGGGUCAGGGGUCAGUUUGAAUGUGAAAGGUCAGUUCACCAGAUCACACACUAUGAUACUUGUUUUUUUCACAAACAUGAAAAUCGAAGCUGAUAUAUUCAUUUGAAGAGAAAUUGAUCCAAAAGGUUAAAGAAAACUGCAACACAGAAUCUUCAGCUCUAUCAACUUGUUAUGUCCCAGAUCACCUGGGGUUGCUCCUACAAACAAAACGUAGCAGCUUUUAGUCUCCAUUCUAUCCCUGCUACGGGAAUAACUAGAGCUCCGUUGUGUCUGAACUGACAGAACAGUAGUCUAGAGUAAUGUGAUGUAUGUCCAGUGUCUGGUGCAUCUGAUGUCCUCAGCAGCCCAGUGUCUUUAUCACCCUGCCGUGUGUCUAUAGAUUCUAUGUUGUGAUUUAUAACAACAUGACAUAGGGGUUUAGUGCCAACUGUCUAUAGAUUCUAUGUUGUGAUUUAUAACAACUGUCUAUAGAUUCUAUGUUGUGAUUUAUAACAACUGUCUAUAGAUUCUAUGUUGUGAUUUAUAACAACAUGACAUAGGAGUUUAAAGCCAACUGUCUAUAGAUU